GGAAAACCUUCUGGAACCACAUAGGAUCGUAUGAAUGACAUGAACUCCUCAGCAGGAGCUUGUGGAGAGUGCAAACUAACAGCACGAAUCGCAUUCUUCUUCUUCUUCUUCAAGUUCAAUUGUUCAGAACCUACACUCUCAUCAGCAAAAUACUUCCAUCUACGACCAUCGAUCUCUUCACAACAAAGCAAUCUCAAACUCGAAUCAACAAAUUCCCGAUCUACCACUCCAAAACUAGCAUUUUCCGGUACUGAACCAACCGACGUCACAUAUGGAGAAGAAGCAAGAUCAGCACUAAUACGGAGGGUUUCACGAACAAGUAAUUUAGCAUCCGUUGCUGUUAGCGUCUGAGAUGAUGAAGAAGAAGAAUUCGGAGGUGGUUUAAGCUUCAUUGUUAUACUUUUUGGUUAUGGAAGAGGAGAAUCUCAGAUUAACCAAGUUUUCAUGAAGGAAAAUUCGGAGCUUUGGUAAUGUCGAAAACGGAGAUUAAGAGGAAAAAGUGGUG
RNAcentral lists this unclassified non-coding RNA (505 nucleotides) under Hevea brasiliensis (rubber tree). Lineage: Eukaryota; Viridiplantae; Streptophyta; Magnoliopsida; Malpighiales; Euphorbiaceae. The record is from RNAcentral.